RNAcentral lists this small nucleolar RNA (168 nucleotides) under Ochotona princeps (American pika). RNAcentral describes it as "Small nucleolar RNA SNORA74 (ENSOPRG00000022272.1)". Lineage: Eukaryota; Metazoa; Chordata; Mammalia; Lagomorpha; Ochotonidae. The record is from RNAcentral.
CCCAGCAGUAGGAAACUACCUAGAUCGCCUUGUACCUAGACAAGUGUUGCACUCCUGGGAGAAAAGCAGCCAGUAGCUGGCAGGCACUCUUGGCCUGGUUAAUGCUGAUUUCGUUUUAAUUAUACCAGUGUGCAAGCACAGUUGCUUAUUCUUUUAAAAGAAAAAUAU